UGCACAUACUUAUCACAAAAUAAGAGUCUAUAGGCUCCUUUCUUAAUUUGCUUCGAUUUGAAAUCAAACCAACUAAGUGCAUAUCCCUAUUUCUAGAUUGAAAUUUUUUAAUACAUGUGAAAGCAUCCUUAAUGUGCUUACAUACACAUGCUUCUAUUUGAUUACCUCGAGAUCUCUCAUCAGAAAGUCAAAAUCCCUAAUCAAAGAACAACUCUACAAUCAGAUCUGAUCCUCUUGAGUGCAGUUUAAGAAGACACUUGCAGCACAACUGCAUCGAAUCAGGAGCCUUCAGCAGCGGCAGCAGCCUUCUUCUCCUUCUGUUUAUCCCUUUUUUUCUUGUUUUUUAGCGCAUUCUUGCUCAUUUGGUCUGUACUGCUCCCUCCAAACAACUCUGCCUGAACAGCAGCUGCAUUUUUAGCAUGUGGUGGGCGAUAGGCAGCAGGUUUCUGAGCAGGAGGAUUGUCAGAAGCCUUUUUGCUGGAGGUUGCCCCUUUUCCUUGUGGAUUGGUUUCUUCAACCUUUAAUGAAUCAACCGACUUUGCAAGUUCUGCAAUUUCACCAAAUCUAUCUGGUGAUUCUGGUUUCCAAUCAGCCUGGUAUAGCUUGUCAAACAUCUUUUUGAAGUACAAUGAUCCAUUGUAGUGGAAAAUUUUAAUCCCAUUGUCAACUUGUAGUCUCGGUGCUGUAGUCGCAGUCAUGAAGUAGAGUCCAUCAGGGGACCACUCACUAGUCACAGAACAUUCAGCCCUAGUUGUUCCAAGUUGUUUUUUGUUUACAUAGUCCCAAAAUGCCAUAUCACCAGGUAAAUUGCCAAAACCAGCCAAGCAUAGAAAUUUCCCUUUUGGGUUCCAUCUGACAGUAUUGUAAGGUCCUGUCCCAAGCUCCAGUAAAGGUUUGCACUUCUUAUCAAACAAUGUCGCACUCGCCGGCAUGAAUCCAUAAACAACAGCAAACUCUGAACCAGAAUAUGACCACUGAACGUCAUGAACAGGCCCCUCUUUGCGAAGAGGCACAAGCCCUUCAUGGGUCCCAUCAGUUGUAAGGUAAUUCAGCUUGGACUCCCCAUAAUAACUUUGAUUGGUCUUGUCAACAUCUGACUGCACCACAAUGAGAAGCCCAGUAGAACCACGAUUCCAGUUUAGUUGCACUGUAGAACAUCGGAAAAAGCUCCGCCGAGCAACAGGCUGACUUUGCAUAUCUUUACCACAAGGAAAUAUCUGUACACUGGCUGGACUUCCCUUAGACUCUGGAACAAAUGCUGCCACAUGAGACCCUGGAACUAUUGAAAGCUCAAUUGCAGCCACCCCAGGAACUCUUAAUCGAUGUACAAUUCCGUUGGAGAAAUCUCUAGGAUCAAAAAAUUGUAUCUCAUUUGUUCCCAUCCGGCAAGCAACAGCUUCAUCAGAACUGAAUCUGAUUGAAGGCCAUGUAGUUUUGGUCAUGUUCUUUUGAAAUUGAUGAUAUACAGCUUCACCGUUCUCUGUCUUCCACAAGACCACAUUCCUAUCCUGUGGCGUCAACGAUUUCUGAAAUGUCUGAAGGUAAGUCCCACAAGGGGACAAUACAGCAGCAAGAACAUUGGAGACUUGGAAAGAUCUUAUUUCCUUAAAGCUGCUGCAAUCAUAUAUGCUAAUGACAGAUUCAGAUUUCAUCACCAUGAGUUUGGACCCAUCUUCAGUGAAAGUUGCAUUGCUACAGGGAACCCUCUCAAACUUGAUACUAGGUUCACCAUUGCCAAAUGGCGGCCCAUUCCAGACACAGAAUCCUUCUGGCCCCCGAACUAAUAUCUCCAAAGAAGAUGAAGGGUUGACAGCUUCCAUAACUGAUCAACACAAGUACAAGAACAAGUAGAGGCCAACCAGUUGAUGAAAGUAUAACUGCAAAAGCCAGAGACAGCAAGCGGGUGUCGUACAAUUGGAAAGUACAGCAGAGCAAGAUACUGAACGUCCGAACUUAAGUCGGCAAGAAUCGUAUUCUUCUCCUAAAGUGCUCACCAGCGAUGGAAUUACGACGGCGGAAAUUGGACAGGGAUUGCGUUCCAAGUAAAAACGCCGAACGACAAGACCUCAAGAGAAAUGAGAGAAGGCGUAGCUACAGUCACUUUUAAUUAAAA
Molecule: unclassified non-coding RNA, 2113 nt
Filed under: Hevea brasiliensis (rubber tree)
Lineage: Eukaryota; Viridiplantae; Streptophyta; Magnoliopsida; Malpighiales; Euphorbiaceae
Source: RNAcentral